This 305-nucleotide ribosomal RNA is filed under the name uncultured bacterium. RNAcentral describes it as "bacterial SSU rRNA". It matches the Rfam family "Bacterial small subunit ribosomal RNA", at positions 334 to 658 of the family's 1533-position model. The record is from RNAcentral.
GACCCUACGGGGGCAGCAGUGGGGGAUAUUGCACAAUGGGGGAAACCCUGAUGCAGCGACGCCGCGUGGGUGAAGAAGCGCCUCGGCGCGUAAAGCCCUGUCAGCAGGGAAGAAAAUGACGGUACCUGAAGAAGAAGCCCCGGCUAACUACGUGCCAGCAGCCGCGGUAAUACGUAGGGGGCAAGCGUUAUCCGGAUUUACUGGGUGUAAAGGGGGCGCAGACGGCGAUGCAAGCCAGGAGUGAAAGCCCGGGGCCCAACCCCGGGACUGCUCUUGGAACUGCGUGGUUAGAGUGCAGGAGGGGG